UUUCACCACAUCUUUUUAAACGCUGCCAGAAGUCGCAAAGAAGAGCACUUAUAAAUAGCAUGACACGACUCUUGACUUUCUCUUUCUUCAACUGCGGAUGGAGGUGCUGCUCAUAAUGUCUUGUUCUUCAAAAAGUUUUCGUGAAACUGCAAGCAUCAUACACGAUGAUGGACGAACAGAACCACGUGGGCUUGGGUAAAUGGCGCCAGUGCCUAUGCGUGUGACUUAAAAAAGCUCUGCUUUUGUGGUUAAUCAACCGACAUGGUGUGGACAAAGGGAUGAUUUCACAGAAACUUGAGAGGUUUUAAGUUCUCAGUUGCAAAGGUGAUGAUCUGUUGGUGUAACUGUAAGAGAUUUGAGAGGUGAAGAUUCCCCUGGCCAUCUCAACGUGUGGUUACAGGUUCGAGUCCACAGGGUCUUCGGCUUUCCACGUGGAUGCUAAUGCAGUUAACGGCCACUAAAUUUGUUUUUUAGCACGGAGUAUGCUGUAACAUGUUCUGAAGUAUUCUCACUGAUAUUUUAUCAGUUUCAAUAAAUGUACAAAACCUGA
Long non-coding RNA from Misgurnus anguillicaudatus (oriental weatherfish), 550 nucleotides. RefSeq lists it as uncharacterized. NCBI's taxonomy places the organism in Eukaryota, Metazoa, Chordata, Actinopteri, Cypriniformes, Cobitidae. The record is from RefSeq and is a predicted model, not a curated record.